GAUGAACGCUGGCGGCGUGCCUAAUACAUGCAAGUCGAGCGAACGGACGAGAAGCUUGCUUCUCUGAUGUUAGCGGCGGACGGGUGAGUAACACGUGGAUAACCUAUCUAUAAGACUGGGAUAACUUCGGGAAACCGGAGCUAAUACCGGAUGAUAUUUUGAACCGCAUGGUUCAAAAGUGAAAGACGGUCUUGCUGUCACUUAUAGAUGGAUCCGCGCUGCAUUAGCUAGUUGGUAAGGUAACGGCUUACCAAGGCAACGAUGCAUAGCCGACCUGAGAGGGUGAUCGGCCACACUGGAACUGAGACACGGUCCAGACUCCUACGGGAGGCAGCAGUAGGGAAUCUUCCGCAAUGGGCGAAAGCCUGACGGAGCAACGCCGCGUGAGUGAUGAAGGUCUUCGGAUCGUAAAACUCUGUUAUUAGGGAAGAACAUAUGUGUAAGUAACUGUGCACAUCUUGACGGUACCUUAUCAGAAAGCCACGGCUAACUACGUG
RNAcentral lists this ribosomal RNA (497 nucleotides) under uncultured bacterium. Its description in RNAcentral is "partial 16S ribosomal RNA". It matches the Rfam family "Bacterial small subunit ribosomal RNA", at positions 28 to 507 of the family's 1533-position model. The record is from RNAcentral.